AUGACGGCCAUAAUUAUUUUUUUGCCCCUGUUAGUAUCAUCAGGUUUAUCGGUUACAGUGCUUCAGUCUUCAGAUCAGAUUUCUCGCUCCGGUUCUGCAGCGUCGUUGGAGUGCAGAAUGGGUGCAGGAUAUUCCAUGAGCAGCUACACCAUGGCCUGGUACCGACAGACCCUCCAUGGAGCUCAAAUAGAGUUUCUUCUGGCAGAAUACGAUGAAAAUAUUGACCGCUACCAGUCAUCACUCGAAACAAAGAAUAACAAGUUUUAUCUAAACAUUCCAGAGCUCAGUGUGAAUGAUAGCAGCACCUACUACUGUGCUGCUCGUCACAGUCUAAAUGGAAGAAUCACCUCUGAGCAAAACAAAAACAAAACAGAAAAGCUACCUCUACCCGAUGCCUGUGCUAAUCAGUACCCUAUUGUUUCCUCUUUGUCUCAGCAGCUCCACACACCCUGUUUUUCACCUGCCAUGGCCAGGCUGGCCUAG
Non-coding RNA from Cyprinodon variegatus (sheepshead minnow), 483 nucleotides. NCBI's taxonomy places the organism in Eukaryota, Metazoa, Chordata, Actinopteri, Cyprinodontiformes, Cyprinodontidae. The record is from the annotation of a RefSeq genome assembly.